AUGAACGUCGCCCUCAUGUUGCAAUGGGUCUGGCGGAUCUUACGGGGAGACGGUGGCCUGUGGCUGCAGCUUCUUCAGGCAAAAUACCUAAGAGGCGAGCCUCUCCUGGCAUGCUCUCGCUCGGGUGGUUCCCAGUUGUGGAAAUCAAUCCAGCGGAUCAAGGAGGAUAUUCGUCUUGGGGUUUUCUUCUCUACAGGUAAUGGGGAAGGUACCCAAUUCUGGUUGGAUCCAUGGGUUUGUAGCGAGACACUUCGGGUGGGUUUCCCUUGUUUGUUUGCUAUCUGCACUGACCCGAUGAUCCCGGUUUCUGCGGCCUCCAGAAUGGGCAGUGGAACAUCUUAA
Molecule: ribosomal RNA, 342 nt
Filed under: Triticum aestivum (bread wheat)
Lineage: Eukaryota; Viridiplantae; Streptophyta; Magnoliopsida; Poales; Poaceae
Description: partial small subunit ribosomal RNA
Source: RNAcentral